Molecule: ribosomal RNA, 253 nt
Filed under: uncultured bacterium
Lineage: Bacteria
Description: partial 16S ribosomal RNA
Rfam family: Bacterial small subunit ribosomal RNA
Source: RNAcentral
UACGUAGGGGGCAAGCGUUGUCCGGAAUCAUUGGGCGUAAAGCGCGUGUAGGCGGCCAGAAAAGUCCGCUGUGAAAACUCGAGGCUCAACUUCGAGCUGUCGGUGGAAACUUUCUGGCUAGAGUCCGGAAGAGGAGAAUGGAAUUCCUGGUGUAGCGGUGAAAUGCGCAGAUAUCAGGAAGAACACCCGUGGCGAAGGCGGCUCUCUGGGACGGUACUGACGCUAAGGCGCGAAAGCGUGGGGAGCGAACAGG